This 468-nucleotide ribosomal RNA is filed under the name uncultured bacterium. RNAcentral describes it as "partial 16S ribosomal RNA". It matches the Rfam family "Bacterial small subunit ribosomal RNA", at positions 28 to 507 of the family's 1533-position model. The record is from RNAcentral.
GACGAACGCUGGGGGCGUGCUUAACACAUGCAAGUCGAACGGAAAGGCCCUGCUUUUGUGGGGUGCUCGAGUGGCGAACGGGUGAGUAACACGUGAGUAACCUGCCCUUGACUUUGGGAUAACUUCAGGAAACUGGGGCUAAUACCGGAUAGGAGCUCCUGCUGCAUGGUGGGGGUUGGAAAGUUUCGGCGGUUGGGGAUGGACUCGCGGCUUAUCAGCUUGUUGGUGGGGUAGUGGCUUACCAAGGCUUUGACGGGUAGCCGGCCUGAGAGGGUGACCGGCCACAUUGGGACUGAGAUACGGCCCAGACUCCUACGGGAGGCAGCAGUGGGGAAUAUUGCACAAUGGGCGGAAGCCUGAUGCAGCAACGCCGCGUGCGGGAUGACGGCCUUCGGGUUGUAAACCGCUUUCGCCUGUGACGAAGCGUGAGUGACGGUAAUGGGUAAAGAAGCACCGGCUAACUACGUG